CAUGCAGACACAGACACAAACACACAUAUGCAGACACACACACAGACACAGACACACACAGACACAGACACACACACACACACACGCAUACACGGACACAGACACACACGGACACACACAUGCAGACACGCAGACAGACACACACAGACACAUGCAGACAGACACAUACAGGGACACACAUGGACAUGGACACACAGACACACAGACACGCACACAGAGACAUACAUGCAGACACACACAGGGACACAGACGCAGAAACAGACACACAUCAGACACACAUAGACACACAGACACACAUGGACAGACACGCAGACACACACACGCACAGACACACAGACACGCAUGGACAGACAUGCAGACAUGGACACACACCGACACGCAAAGGGACAC
This 390-nucleotide long non-coding RNA is filed under the name Homo sapiens (human). RNAcentral describes it as "non-protein coding lnc-HIPK3-2:1". The record is from RNAcentral. Lineage: Eukaryota; Metazoa; Chordata; Mammalia; Primates; Hominidae.